GCUUUGGGUCACAUUUGCUGUUGUGACUCCCUUUUUAAUGCAGCCCCCACCUGCUUGUUAUUAGCUGAUGCCUGUUUUUGUGUCAUUUAGAUCUGCAGUGUUCAAAGAUCUCUACGACAAAACCUCGGCUCAUUCCCAGAGAGCUCUCUAUUCCUGGAUGACUGGAAUAUUGCAGACAUCCUCCAAUGCCACUGAUGACUCUGCUUCAUGGGUCAGUGCGGAACACUUAUGGGUUUUGGGCAGAUACAUGGUUCACCUAUCGUUUGAAGAAAUUACAAAAAUUAGUCCUAUAGAAGUAAGUUGGAAAAGUACAUUUAUAUGUCACCAUUACUAAUACACUUGGGGUAAGGUGUAUUCUCAAACUCUAAUGUUCAUCCAGCCAGUCAAGGUGCCUUGGAAAUUGUAUACCCUCCUCAGCCCAAUAGACCUUGGGCCUCUGAAGAAAACUAUUGGAAGAAAGUUUCAAGUGGGCAGUCAUGGGAUUGUUUCAGUGUGGAAGGGCUAAGAAAAGAAAAAGAAUUGUGGACAACUAAGAUCACAUCUCUGAUGUGAGCAAACAUGAUUUAAAGGGAUUGUUGGCUAUGAACCAAAAAUCAUUUAAGGGUAUUUUUGUACUGGAGAAGGCCAAGGACAAAAGAUAUAAAGUUUCCCAUCCUUGGGAGCAUGAACUCAAAGCAAAAGCAAAA
Molecule: long non-coding RNA, 686 nt
Filed under: Pan troglodytes (chimpanzee)
Lineage: Eukaryota; Metazoa; Chordata; Mammalia; Primates; Hominidae
Description: lncRNA (ENSPTRG00000053290.1)
Source: RNAcentral